RNAcentral lists this unclassified non-coding RNA (333 nucleotides) under fungal sp. RNAcentral describes it as "partial internal transcribed spacer region". The stretch from base 1 to 46 matches the Rfam family "Eukaryotic small subunit ribosomal RNA", at positions 1786 to 1831 of the family's 1831-position model. Lineage: Eukaryota; Fungi. The record is from RNAcentral.
AAGUCGUAACAAGGUUUCCGUAGGUGAACCUGCGGAAGGAUCAUUACCACGUAAAAAAAAAUCCAAACCUUUUUUUAAUCCAACCCGUCCCUUUGUGAAUUUGGAAAAUAUCAAAAACAAAAAGAUAGAGAGAGCAAUGUGUGUGUGUGUGUGUGUGUGAGGAGAGCAUUGGCUCGUUCAUUGCCUCUCCUCGCAUUCACCGCUCUCUCCCUCUCUCUGUCUUUUAUUUUGAAACCCCAUUGUCCGAUUUGAAACAGUUUUUGUUCAAAUAGACAUCAACAAAACAAAAAAAAAACCAUGAGACAACUUUUAACGGUGGAUCUCUUGGCUCGU